GACGAACGCUGGCGGCGUGCUUAACACAUGCAAGUCGAACGGAAAGGCCCUGCUUUUGUGGGGUGCUCGAGUGGCGAACGGGUGAGUAACACGUGAGUAACCUGCCCUUGACUUUGGGAUAACUUCAGGAAACUGGGGCUAAUACCGGAUAGGAGCUCCUGCUGCAUUGUGGGGGUUGGAAAGUUUCGGCGGUUGGGGAUGGACUCGCGGCUUAUCAGCUUGUUGGUGGGGGAGUGGCUUACCAAGGCUUUGACGGGUAGCCGGCCUGAGAGGGUGACCGGCCACAUUGGGACUGAGAUACGGCCCAGAAUCCUACGGGAGGCAGCAGUGGGGAAUAUUGCACAAUGGGCGGAAGCCUGAUGCAGCAACGCCGCGUGCGGGAUGAAGGCCUUCGGGUUGUAAACCGCUUUCGCCUGUGACGAAGCGUGAGUGACGGUAAUGGGUAAAGAAGCACCGGCUAACUACGUG
Molecule: ribosomal RNA, 468 nt
Filed under: uncultured bacterium
Lineage: Bacteria
Description: partial 16S ribosomal RNA
Rfam family: Bacterial small subunit ribosomal RNA
Source: RNAcentral